UUUCCCAGACAGACUCCAUAGGUCAGCGGUUGAAGGCUCUCAGGUCAUCUGACAUCGGCACCAUCAGUCAUGUGCAGAGGGGCCAUUCUCUGGAGUAGGACCCGCCCCCCCCCCAGUGACCAUACAAGGUAACAGAGGAAUGCAUGCCUUGGAAGUCCAUCUGCUUCAUAAAGACAACACGCAGAGGCCAGGAGGGUCUCACACUGAUGCUGAUCAGUUCUUUAGAGAAGCAAACGGGAAGAUCCGCCAAUGAGACCUUCACUCCGAGACCAUGACAUGAUGUCUCCAAACAAGAAUGCUGCCUGAUCAUUUACUCGCAGAUGGAUGGGAGCUUUCCCAAGAGGGCUUGCCAUGAAGAUGAGCUGACCUCCACUCACUGUUGGACACUCCACACUUUGAGUUAGAUGAGAUGUGCAUGUAAGCAGAUACUAGGUGAGUAUCAUACACACAGACACAUACGUACGUUUGCACUUGUAACGCUAUCAUUUUUAAGAUGUCAAAUUCUCCUCAGAGCAAUUGAGUAACAUUAUCUGAAAACUUGUCUAUGUGUGUGUAACAUGAGAGAGAACAGCAGAGGAAGUUUGAAUUAUGAUGGUCCACUGAGGGUUUCAGUCAUUUCCUGUUUACCCCUCCCACGUAAAAGUGUCUUUGCAGUUUGAAUUUGCUCUUUCUCUCUCUCUCGCUCUCUCUUUAUCUCUCCAUCUCUCCCCUCCCUCCCUCCCUCUCUCUCUCUCUCUCUCUCUCGCUCUCUCGCUCUCUCGUUCUCUUGCCCUCUCUCUCUCUCUCGCCCU
Syngnathus typhle (broad-nosed pipefish) is the source of this 791-nucleotide long non-coding RNA. RefSeq lists it as uncharacterized. The transcript has 4 exons. NCBI's taxonomy places the organism in Eukaryota, Metazoa, Chordata, Actinopteri, Syngnathiformes, Syngnathidae. The record is from RefSeq and is a predicted model, not a curated record.